CAUCUCUUCAGGUAUAGCACAUUGACCAUUGAUAUGGUCACCACCACAAAGAUUGCAUAGCUGCUGUGUUUGGGAGACAUUGCGAAUCUCCUUCGGAAGUUCUGAGAAGAUCUUUGUCAAUGUAUCUAGCUUUUGGGUCGAAAGAUGAUUUUGGGCUAGCAUUGCAUCAUCUGUAGGUAAGUGCAAGACUCCUCUCUUUUGUGUUGGUGCGCCCCUUUCACUAUACAUU
Molecule: long non-coding RNA, 229 nt
Filed under: Vigna radiata
Lineage: Eukaryota; Viridiplantae; Streptophyta; Magnoliopsida; Fabales; Fabaceae
Description: long non-coding RNA (VRAD_LNC013246)
Source: RNAcentral